UACGGAGGAUGCGAGCGUUAUCCGGAUUUAUUGGGUUUAAAGGGUGCGUAGGCGGUUUUUUAAGUUAGUGGUUAAACGUCGGGGCUUCACCUUGAUUUGCCAUUAAUACUGUAAGACUCGAGUUCAGACGAGGUAGGCGGAAUGCGUGGUGUAGCGGUGAAAUGCAUAGAUAUCACGCAGAACUCCGAUUGCGAAGGCAGCUUACUAAGCCAUAACUGACACUGAAGCACGAAAGCGUGGGGAUCAAACAGG
RNAcentral lists this ribosomal RNA (252 nucleotides) under uncultured Odoribacter sp. Its description in RNAcentral is "partial 16S ribosomal RNA". It matches the Rfam family "Bacterial small subunit ribosomal RNA", at positions 524 to 776 of the family's 1533-position model. Lineage: Bacteria; Pseudomonadati; Bacteroidota; Bacteroidia; Bacteroidales; Odoribacteraceae. The record is from RNAcentral.